CUGAGUACUACACUCUCUACCCUUUGUGAACUAUUAUACCUGUUGCUUCGGCGGCGCCCGCAAGGUGCCCGCCGGUCUCAUCAGAAUCUCUGUUUUCGAACCCGACGAUACUUCUGAGUGUUCUUAGCGAACUGUCA
Molecule: unclassified non-coding RNA, 137 nt
Filed under: soil metagenome
Description: partial internal transcribed spacer 1
Source: RNAcentral